UCUAUAAAUGGAGAUGAUUUAGUACUAUAGGUACUCUCACUAGAAGUGGCCGUUAGAUAUUCAUCUGUCCACAGUGAGACAAACUGUCUAUAAAUGGAGAUGAUUUAGUACUAUAGGUACUCUCUCUAGAAGUGGCCGUUAGAUAUUCAUCUGUCCACAGUGAGACAAACUGUCUAUAAAUGGAGAUGAUUUAGUACUAUAGGUACUCUCUCUAGAAGUGGCCGUUAGAUAUUCAUCUGUCCACAGUUAGACAAACUGUCUAUAAAUGGAGAUGAUUUAGUACUAUAGGUACUCUCUCUAGAAGUGGCCGUUAGAUAUUCAUCUGUCCACAGUUAGACAAACUGUCUAUAAAUGGAGAUGAUUUAGUACUAUAGGUACUCUCUCUAGAAGUGGCCGUUAGAUAUUCAUCUGUCCACAGUUAGACAAACUGUCUAUAAAUGGAGGUGAUUUAGUACUAUAGGUACUCUCUCUAGAAGUGGCCGUUAGAUAUUCAUCUGUCCACAGUUAGACACACUGUCUAUAAAUGGAGAUGAUUUAGUACUAUAGGUACUCUCUCUAGAAGUGGCCGUUAGAUAUUCAUCUGUCCACAGUGAGACAAACUGUCUAUAAAUGGAGAUGAUUUAGUACUAUAGGUACUCUCACUAGAAGUGGCCGUUAGAUAUUCAUCUGUCCACAGUGAGACAAACUGUCUAUAAAUGGAGAUGAUUUAGUACUAUAGGUACUCUCUCUAGAAGUGGCCGUUAGAUAUUCAUCUGUCCACAGUGAGACAAACUGUCUAUAAAUGGAGAUGAUUUAGUACUAUAGGUACUCUCUCUAGAAGUGGCCGUUAGAUAUUCAUCUGUCCACAGUUAGACAAACUGUCUAUAAAUGGAGAUGAUUUAGUACUAUAGGUACUCUCUCUAGAAGUGUCC
Xyrauchen texanus (razorback sucker) is the source of this 911-nucleotide long non-coding RNA. RefSeq lists it as uncharacterized. The transcript is spliced from 5 exons. NCBI's taxonomy places the organism in Eukaryota, Metazoa, Chordata, Actinopteri, Cypriniformes, Catostomidae. The record is from RefSeq and is a predicted model, not a curated record.